Long non-coding RNA from Scatophagus argus, 440 nucleotides. RefSeq lists it as uncharacterized. The record is from RefSeq and is a predicted model, not a curated record. NCBI's taxonomy places the organism in Eukaryota, Metazoa, Chordata, Actinopteri, Scatophagidae. The transcript is spliced from 3 exons.
ACGGUGGAGGUGGAGGGAAACGGAAUGGGAACAUCCACCUCCUUCUCCUUCCACAUGUUCCAGUUCACUGGGAGCUCUGGUGAGGUGUACCUGCACUGCCAAGUCCACCUGUGUGCCCACGACGAAGAGACCUGUACCCCGGUCUGUAAUGCGCAUGAUCGGAGACGCAGAUCUGCAAGGUUGGAAUAUGCAGAUGAAGCAUCAGCCUUCAUCACGAUGGCCUGGAUUCAUUAGGUUGUUAACACGCCGACUCGGACUGACUGACAGGCUGUGGACGUUCACAAGGAUUCCUGCCUUUGAUUGGUCCUGAUCCAGAGCCUUGAUGUGGGAAUCCUUUGGUUUUAGAAAGACAUCUUCUGAAGGGACACCUCAGCUCUCACUGCAGAUUUUCUGCCACUAGAGAAUAUAACUUGACCUUUUUUCCCUACAGUAUGAAACAC